RNAcentral lists this ribosomal RNA (255 nucleotides) under uncultured bacterium. RNAcentral describes it as "partial 16S ribosomal RNA". It matches the Rfam family "Bacterial small subunit ribosomal RNA", at positions 524 to 776 of the family's 1533-position model. The record is from RNAcentral.
UACGUAGGGGGCAAGCGUUGUCCGGAAUCAUUGGGCGUAAAGAGCGUGUAGGCGGCCCGAUAAGUCCGCUGUGAAAGUCCAGGGCUCAACCCUGGAAUGCCGGUGGAUACUGUCGGGCUCGAAUCCGGAAGAGGUGAGUGGAAUUCCUGGUGUAGCGGUGAAAUGCGCAGAUAUCAGGAGGAACACCAAUGGCGAAGGCAGCUCACUGGGACGGUAUUGACGCUGAGACGCGAAAAGCGUGGGGGAGCGAACAGG